RNAcentral lists this ribosomal RNA (207 nucleotides) under Streptomyces sp. IgraMP-1. RNAcentral's name for it is "23S rRNA. Bacterial LSU". It matches the Rfam family "Bacterial large subunit ribosomal RNA", at positions 2719 to 2925 of the family's 2925-position model. Lineage: Bacteria; Bacillati; Actinomycetota; Actinomycetes; Kitasatosporales; Streptomycetaceae. The record is from RNAcentral.
AGUUGUUCUGCCAAGGGCAUGGCUGGUUGGCUACGUUCGGAGGGAUAACCGCUGAAAGCAUCUAAGCGGGAAGCCUGCUUCGAGAUGAGUAUUCCCACCUCCUUGAGAGGGUAAGGCUCCCAGUAGACGACUGGGUUGAUAGGCCGGAUAUGGAAGCCCUGUAAGGGGUGGAGUUGACCGGUACUAAUAGGCCGAGGGCUUGUCCUC